CCUCAGGACCAGCCCGGAAGUCUCUCCAAGAGCCCCAAAGUCCAGGAAUCCCCACCAAAGGAUUCAGAAACAGCGCCCACAGUCCGGGGCCCCUCUGAACGGUGCUGUGGGAUGAGCUGGUGGAGACUCUGAAGGUCAUUGAACUUGCAAAAGAAUGAGGCCAAGUCUUCAGGAAGCUCCGAAGUGUGAAUCAGGAAUUCUCCACACCAGUGAUGCUGAUCGGCUUCCUAGUCUCUCAAUAUGCCCAGUGUAUCUGCCCUGAGGAACUUACACAUGCCCAAGAAGCCUUCCUGUCUCCUCUCUGUUUACCUAAAUACUUCCUCACUUUCCCACCCGUGGCCAUCCUCACACCAACUCCUUUACAACUGGAUGGUUCUGUUCAUCCAGGCCCUGGCCUGGGCUGCUCUGUGGCGGUGACCUCUUUGGGAACAUGCCUGGUCUCCCCAGGUAGCAUCAAGCAGUCCGCAAAUACUGAGGACCGUGCUCGUCUGGGCCGUGGGUGAGGGCGUGGCGUUAGGGCAGCGAGCCAGAGAAACCCACAGACUUUAUCCUAGUAGAGUCUACACCCCAGCAAAGCCUGAUGUGGGUGAAACAAGACUGUGAAGGCAUCGGGCUGCUGAAGAAACAAAUGUCAUGGGCACUUGGGUGGCUCAGUUG
This is a long non-coding RNA of Herpailurus yagouaroundi (jaguarundi), 657 nucleotides long. RefSeq lists it as uncharacterized. Lineage: Eukaryota; Metazoa; Chordata; Mammalia; Carnivora; Felidae. The record is from RefSeq and is a predicted model, not a curated record. The transcript is spliced from 2 exons.